Molecule: ribosomal RNA, 253 nt
Filed under: uncultured bacterium
Lineage: Bacteria
Description: partial 16S ribosomal RNA
Rfam family: Bacterial small subunit ribosomal RNA
Source: RNAcentral
UACAGAGGUCUCAAGCGUUGUUCGGAUUCAUUGGGCGUAAAGGGUGCGUAGGUGGUUUGGUAAGUUGAAGGUGAAAUCUCGGAGCUUAACUCCGAAACUGCCUUCAAUACUGCCGGACUUGAGGACUGUAGAGGAGAAUGGAAUUCACGGUGUAGCAGUGAAAUGCGUAGAUAUCGUGAGGAAGACCAGUGGCGAAGGCGAUUCUCUGGGCAGUUCCUGACACUGAGGCACGAAGGCUAGGGGGGCAAACGGG